CUACUUACCUGGACGGGAUCAAUGGGCGAUCAACAAGGCUCAUGGUCUAGAUUAGUGACCUCCAUUGCACUUAGGAGGGGUGCUCGUCUAAGGUCUCCCCAAGCUGGGAGAGUCUACGUCAAAAUUUGUGGUAGAGGGGGCUGCGCAAGUCGCGGCCCCUG
Non-coding RNA from Populus trichocarpa (black cottonwood), 161 nucleotides. The record is from Rfam. Lineage: Eukaryota; Viridiplantae; Streptophyta; Magnoliopsida; Malpighiales; Salicaceae.